CGCCGAUCGAGAACCCGGGCCCCGUCUCGGAGCGGUUUCUCGAGCCGUUCGAUGCCGGCGACCCGGACGUGACCGGUCCCAUGCCGGGAUCGCUGC
This 96-nucleotide transfer RNA is filed under the name Tsukamurella tyrosinosolvens. Its description in RNAcentral is "tRNA-Glu(ctc)". The record is from RNAcentral. Lineage: Bacteria; Bacillati; Actinomycetota; Actinomycetes; Mycobacteriales; Tsukamurellaceae.